This is a small nuclear RNA of Rhinolophus ferrumequinum (greater horseshoe bat), 107 nucleotides long. The record is from Ensembl. Lineage: Eukaryota; Metazoa; Chordata; Mammalia; Chiroptera; Rhinolophidae.
UUGCUCGCUUUGGCAGCACAUAUACUAAAAUUGGAAUGAUACAGAGAAGAUUAGCAUCGUCCCUAUGCAAGGAUGGCACGCAAAUUCAUGAAGUGUUCCAUAUUUUU